GAUCAGCAUGCCGCGUGUGUGAGAGGCCUUUUGGUUGUAAAGCACUUUAAGUGGGGAGGAGGCUCUCUUGGUUAAUACCUGAGAUGAGUGGACGUUACCCACAGAAUAAGCACCGGCUAACUCUGUGCCAGCAGCCGCGGUAAUACAGAGGGUGCGAGCGUUAAUCGGAUUUACUGGGCGUAAAGCGCGCGUAGGUGGUUAAUUAAGUCAAAUGUGAAAUCCCCGAGCUUAACUUGGGAAUUGCAUUCGAUACUGGUUAGCUAGAGUAUGGGAGAGGAUGGUAGAAUUCCAGGUGUAGCGGUGAAAUGCGUAGAGAUCUGGAGGAAUACCGAUGGCGAAGGCAGCCAUCUGGCCUAAUACUGACACUGAGGUGCGAAAGCAUGGGGAGCAAACA
This 394-nucleotide ribosomal RNA is filed under the name Acinetobacter lwoffii. RNAcentral describes it as "bacterial SSU rRNA". It matches the Rfam family "Bacterial small subunit ribosomal RNA", at positions 385 to 774 of the family's 1533-position model. The record is from RNAcentral. Lineage: Bacteria; Pseudomonadati; Pseudomonadota; Gammaproteobacteria; Moraxellales; Moraxellaceae.